This is a long non-coding RNA of Helianthus annuus (common sunflower), 526 nucleotides long. RefSeq lists it as uncharacterized. The record is from RefSeq and is a predicted model, not a curated record. The transcript has 3 exons. Lineage: Eukaryota; Viridiplantae; Streptophyta; Magnoliopsida; Asterales; Asteraceae.
CUUUAUCUCUUUGGCUACCUUUUUCUUUUAGAUUUGAAAACACUAUCACAUUCAAACUAACCCACAUAUAUGUUGGGAUGACUCUUCGAUCGACAACAAUUUAUAUCAAUUUAGAUUCCUUCUUUGCCCAUGAAACCUCAAUUUCAUUAGCCACGACCGUCGCAUGUCCGUUCGUCACCGUAAACUCCGUCACCUGAAGCCUCCGAUCUGCAACAAGUUGCGGUUCGACGACUUUGACAGCCUCCGCACAACCACCGGUCGCCGCAUACAUCCACCAUGAACCGGCUUUAAUUUGGAACCAUCAUACCCCGCUUUUCUGCCACCGCGAACUAGCUCGUCGUCGUCGCGAACCAGAUUCAGCCACCUCACGUGUUCGUGUAUCACCGCUCUUGUCUCAGCUCUAAUUUGCUUGGGUUCAACAACUAAGGUUCUUGAUUUUCGAGAUCGACUUGACUAAUUGGUCUUGCUUUGCUUGCUAAUAAGGUAACAAAAUAUGAAAGCCAAAUAGAAGCCAGCUGGACAGCAC